GGCAGAAUGAUUUUUUGCUUUCUCAGUCUUCCUAGAAAGAAAGAAAGAAAAAAAAUCUAAAAUCUUUAAGAUAUGUGUGGGAUCUGUUGAGUCACAGCCUGAACCACGGAUUGAUCACCUGUGGAAAGGACCCAGUCAGCCCUGAGAGCACAGGUGAAAGCAAUUCAUGUGUGCGAAUGGAAGGAGGGGAGCCUGGCUGCAGCUCUCUUAGAUCUCAUUUAAGGGCUGACUGCUGCUGGGGAGGAUCUUUGCCUGGUGGAUUUGCCACAAGGUUUCUUACAAUGACUAACAG
Molecule: long non-coding RNA, 292 nt
Filed under: Gallus gallus (chicken)
Lineage: Eukaryota; Metazoa; Chordata; Aves; Galliformes; Phasianidae
Description: lncRNA (ENSGALG00010017875.1)
Source: RNAcentral